GCGGGCGUAGUUCAGCGGUAGAACGCAGCGUUCCCAACGCUGAUGUCGGGAGUUCGAUCCUCCUCGCCCGCU
RNAcentral lists this transfer RNA (72 nucleotides) under Planctomycetota bacterium. Its description in RNAcentral is "Planctomycetes bacterium (mine drainage metagenome) tRNA-Gly". It matches the Rfam family "tRNA". From Rfam's summary of the family: Transfer RNA (tRNA) molecules are approximately 80 nucleotides in length. Their secondary structure includes four short double-helical elements and three loops (D, anti-codon, and T loops). The record is from RNAcentral. Lineage: Bacteria; Pseudomonadati; Planctomycetota.